CUAUUGCUAAAAAUAGGAACCCACACAUUGGUUCCAUGAUACAGAGAAGCAAAGAUGAAAUUGAGUUGGAAACUUUUUAUUUGCCGCCUGGCUUUCAUAAUCCUGAAAGUUUCCUUUCGUCCACUCAUAUACUUCUUGAAGUCUUCCCAUGUCUUGUACAGUUGUUCUGCAAGUACAGUCUGGGACCAAAGUAAACAUAGGCUACGUAUGAUACUGAAGAGGACUUUAACCCACCAAGACCAUGAACC
This is a long non-coding RNA of Mastomys coucha (southern multimammate mouse), 248 nucleotides long. RefSeq lists it as uncharacterized. The record is from RefSeq and is a predicted model, not a curated record. The transcript is spliced from 3 exons. Lineage: Eukaryota; Metazoa; Chordata; Mammalia; Rodentia; Muridae.